AACGUAGGGGGCAAGCGUUGCCCGGAUUCACUGGGCGUAAAGCGGGUGUAGGCGGUUCUUUAAGUCAGAUGUGAAAUCCUGCGGCUCAACCGCGGAACUGCAUCUGAUACUGGGGAACUUGAGGACGGUAGAGGUCGGUGGAAUCCCCGGUGUACCGGUGAAAUGGGCAGAUAUCGGGGGGAACACCAGUGGCGAAGGCGGCCGACUGGGCCGAUCCUGACGCUGAGGAGCGAAAGCAUGGGGAGCGAACAGG
Molecule: ribosomal RNA, 253 nt
Filed under: uncultured bacterium
Lineage: Bacteria
Description: partial 16S ribosomal RNA
Rfam family: Bacterial small subunit ribosomal RNA
Source: RNAcentral